This 325-nucleotide unclassified non-coding RNA is filed under the name Hevea brasiliensis (rubber tree). Lineage: Eukaryota; Viridiplantae; Streptophyta; Magnoliopsida; Malpighiales; Euphorbiaceae. The record is from RNAcentral.
AUGCUGAUGGGAAGUCUAGGUAAUUGAAUUUCUUAUAAUUAAUGAGAACAAAGUUUUGUAUUUAGUAGCAUUGGGUUUACAAUAUUAUAAAGUGUCUAUAAGUUGAGUAAAAUAAUGAGACUGCACACAAGAUUCAAUAAAAAAGGAUGGUGGAUGGAGUAUUUAUGAAGCUAGCCCGUGAGGAAGCGAGCUACUCAUCCAUUAUGAUAUGGGAUAAUCAUAAUAUCAUAAUUCCAUCGAUGCAUUCUACAUCUUUUCUUUAGAACUUAUUGAAUAUAGUUCGAUUAUAUGUAUUUUGGUUGCGAUAGUUGUUAGCAUUCUGUUA